CCUACGGGAGGCAGCAGUAGGGAAUAUUGCUCAAUGGGGGAAACCCUGAAGCAGCAACGCCGCGUGGAGGAUGAAGGUUUUAGGAUUGUAAACUCCUUUUGUUAGAGAAGAUUAUGACGGUAUCUAACGAAUAAGCACCGGCUAACUCCGUGCCAGCAGCCGCGGUAAUACGGAGGGUGCAAGCGUUACUCGGAAUCACUGGGCGUAAAGAGUGCGUAGGCGGGGUAAUAAGUCAGAUGUGAAAUCCUGUGGCUUAACUCCAGAACUGCAUUUGAAACUGUUACUCUGGAGUGUGGGAGAGGUAAGUGGAAUUCUUGGUGUAGGGGUAAAAUCCGUAGAGAUCAAGAGGAAUACUCAUUGCGAAGGCGACCUGCUGGAACAUUACUGACGCUGAUGCACGAAAGCGUGGGGAGCAAACAGGAUUAGAUACCCCUGUAGUC
RNAcentral lists this ribosomal RNA (440 nucleotides) under uncultured bacterium. RNAcentral describes it as "partial 16S ribosomal RNA". It matches the Rfam family "Bacterial small subunit ribosomal RNA", at positions 338 to 795 of the family's 1533-position model. The record is from RNAcentral.